AUUGAACGCUGGCGGAAUGCUUUACACAUGCAAGUCGAACGGCAGCACGGACUUCGGUCUGGUGGCGAGUGGCGAACGGGUGAGUAAUGUAUCGGAACGUGCCCAGUCGUGGGGGAUAACGUAGUGAAAAUUACGCUAAUACCGCAUACGAUCUAUGGAUGAAAGCGGGGGAUCGCAAGACCUCGCGCGAUUGGAGCGGCCGAUAUCAGAUUAGGGAGUUGGUGGGGGAAGGCCCACCAAGCCAACGAUCUGUAGCUGGUCUGAGAGGACGACCAGCCACACUGGAACUGAGACACGGUCCAGACUCCUACGGGAGGCAGCAGUGGGGAAUUUUGGACAAUGGGCGAAAGCCUGAUCCAGCCAUUCCGCGUGCAGGAUGAAGGCCCUCGGGUUGUAAACUGCUUUUGUACAGAACGAAAAGGUUUCUACUAAUACUAGGAGCUCAUGACGGUACUGUAAGAAUAAGCACCGGCUAACUACGUGCCAGCAGCCGCGGUAA
This 499-nucleotide ribosomal RNA is filed under the name uncultured bacterium. RNAcentral's name for it is "partial 16S ribosomal RNA". It matches the Rfam family "Bacterial small subunit ribosomal RNA", at positions 30 to 523 of the family's 1533-position model. The record is from RNAcentral.